RNAcentral lists this ribosomal RNA (1213 nucleotides) under Klebsiella pneumoniae. RNAcentral describes it as "bacterial SSU rRNA". It matches the Rfam family "Bacterial small subunit ribosomal RNA", at positions 42 to 1254 of the family's 1533-position model. The record is from RNAcentral. Lineage: Bacteria; Pseudomonadati; Pseudomonadota; Gammaproteobacteria; Enterobacterales; Enterobacteriaceae.
CCAUGGAUCAGCUACCAUGCAGUCGAGCGGUAGCACAGAGAGCUUGCUCUCGGGUGACGAGCGGCGGACGGGUGAGUAAUGUCUGGGAAACUGCCUGAUGGAGGGGGAUAACUACUGGAAACGGUAGCUAAUACCGCAUAACGUCGCAAGACCAAAGUGGGGGACCUUCGGGCCUCAUGCCAUCAGAUGUGCCCAGAUGGGAUUAGCUAGUAGGUGGGGUAACGGCUCACCUAGGCGACGAUCCCUAGCUGGUCUGAGAGGAUGACCAGCCACACUGGAACUGAGACACGGUCCAGACUCCUACGGGAGGCAGCAGUGGGGAAUAUUGCACAAUGGGCGCAAGCCUGAUGCAGCCAUGCCGCGUGUAUGAAGAAGGCCUUCGGGUUGUAAAGUACUUUCAGCGGGGAGGAAGGCGAUAAGGUUAAUAACCUUGUCGAUUGACGUUACCCGCAGAAGAAGCACCGGCUAACUCCGUGCCAGCAGCCGCGGUAAUACGGAGGGUGCAAGCGUUAAUCGGAAUUACUGGGCGUAAAGCGCACGCAGGCGGUCUGUCAAGUCGGAUGUGAAAUCCCCGGGCUCAACCUGGGAACUGCAUUCGAAACUGGCAGGCUAGAGUCUUGUAGAGGGGGGUAGAAUUCCAGGUGUAGCGGUGAAAUGCGUAGAGAUCUGGAGGAAUACCGGUGGCGAAGGCGGCCCCCUGGACAAAGACUGACGCUCAGGUGCGAAAGCGUGGGGAGCAAACAGGAUUAGAUACCCUGGUAGUCCACGCCGUAAACGAUGUCGAUUUGGAGGUUGUGCCCUUGAGGCGUGGCUUCCGGAGCUAACGCGUUAAAUCGACCGCCUGGGGAGUACGGCCGCAAGGUUAAAACUCAAAUGAAUUGACGGGGGCCCGCACAAGCGGUGGAGCAUGUGGUUUAAUUCGAUGCAACGCGAAGAACCUUACCUGGUCUUGACAUCCACAGAACUUGCCAGAGAUGGCCUUGGUGCCUUCGGGAACUGUGAGACAGGUGCUGCAUGGCUGUCGUCAGCUCGUGUUGUGAAAUGUUGGGUUAAGUCCCGCAACGAGCGCACCCUUAUCCUUUGUUGCCAGCGGUUCGCCGGCACUCAAGGAGACUGCCAGUGAUAAACUGAGAAGGUGGGGGAUGACGUCAGUCAUCAUGCCGACGACAAGGCUACCCACGUGCUACAAUGCCUAUACAAAAGAGAAGUCGAC